ACGCGAAAGUCCCCUUCGGGGGACGAGUAGAGUGGCGCACGGGUGAGUAACACGUAGGUAAUCUACCUUUGGAUGGGGAAUAACAACCGGAAACGGUUGCUAAUACCGCAUAAUGCAGCGGCACCUAAUGGUGACAGUUGUUAAAGCGGGGGAUCGAAAGACCUCGCGUCUAAAGAGGAGCCUGCGGCAGAUUAGCUAGUUGGUAAGGUAAUGGCUUACCAAGGCGAUGAUCUGUAGCCGGCCUGAGAGGGCGGUCGGCCACACUGACACUGACAUACGGGUCAGACUCCUACGGGAGGCAGCAGUCGGGAAUUUUGGGCAAUGGGCGAAAGCCUGACCCAGCAACGCCGCGUGAAGGAUGAAAUCCUUCGGGAUGUAAACUUCGCAAGAACGGGAAGAAUAAGUAAGAGCUAACAUCUCUUACGAUGACGGUACUGUUUGUAAGCUCCGGCUAACUCCGUGCCAGCAGCCGCGGUAAUACGGGGGGAGCAAGCGUUG
RNAcentral lists this ribosomal RNA (498 nucleotides) under uncultured bacterium. Its description in RNAcentral is "bacterial SSU rRNA". It matches the Rfam family "Bacterial small subunit ribosomal RNA", at positions 66 to 543 of the family's 1533-position model. The record is from RNAcentral.